Molecule: ribosomal RNA, 590 nt
Filed under: uncultured bacterium
Lineage: Bacteria
Description: bacterial SSU rRNA
Rfam family: Bacterial small subunit ribosomal RNA
Source: RNAcentral
GCCCUUCCUACGGGAGGCAGCAGGGCGGAAUAUUGGUCAAUGGGCGAGAGCCUGAACCAGCCAAGUCGCGUGAAGGAAGAAGGAUCUAUGGUUCGUAAACUUCUUUUGCAGGGGAAUAAAGUGCAGGACGUGUCCUGUUUUGUAUGUACCCUGAGAAUAAGGAUCGGCUAACUCCGUGCCAGCAGCCGCGGUAAUACGGAGGAUCCGAGCGUUAUCCGGAUUUAUUGGGUUUAAAGGGUGCGUAGGUGGUUUGAUAAGUCAGCGGUGAAAGUUUGCAGCUUAACUGUAAAAAUGCCGUUGAAACUGUCGGACUUGAGUGUAAAUGAGGUAGGCGGAAUGCGUGGUGUAGCGGUGAAAUGCUUAGAUAUCACGCAGAACUCCGAUUGCGAAGGCAGCUUACUAAGCUACAACUGACACUGAAGCACGAAAGCGUGGGGAUCAAACAGGAUUAGAUACCCUGGUAGUCCACGCAGUAAACGAUGAUUACUAGCUGUUUGCGAUACACAGUAAGCGGCACAGCGAAAGCGUUAAGUAAUCCACCUGGGGAGUACGCCGGCAACGGUGAAACUCAAAGGAAUUGACGGAAGGGC